This 495-nucleotide ribosomal RNA is filed under the name uncultured bacterium. Its description in RNAcentral is "partial 16S ribosomal RNA". It matches the Rfam family "Bacterial small subunit ribosomal RNA", at positions 28 to 507 of the family's 1533-position model. The record is from RNAcentral.
GAUGAACGCUGGCGGCGUGCCUAAUACAUGCAAGUAGAACGCUGAAGGAGGAGCUUGCUCUUCUGGAUGAGUUGCGAACGGGUGAGUAACGCGUAGGUAACCUGCCUGGUAGCGGGGGAUAACUAUUGGAAACGAUAGCUAAUACCGCAUGACAACAGUUAUUGCAUGAUAACUGUUUAAAAGGGGCAACUGCUCCACUACCAGAUGGACCUGCGUUGUAUUAGCUAGUUGGUGAGGUAACGGCUCACCAAGGCGACGAUACAUAGCCGACCUGAGAGGGUGAUCGGCCAAACUGGGACUGAGACACGGCCCAGAAUCCUAAGGGAGGCAGCAGGAGGGAAUCUUCGGCAAUGGACGGAAGUCUGACCGAGCAACGCCGCGUGAGUGAAGAAAGUUUUCGGAUCGUAAAGCUCUGUUGUAAGAGAAGAACGAGUGUGAGAGUGGAAAGUUCACACUGUGACGGUAUCUUACCAGAAAGGGACGGCUAACUACGUG